GAAACCAACAGGGAUUGCCCCAGUAACGGCGAGUGAAGCGGCAAAAGCUCAAAUUUGAAAUCUGGCUCCUUAGGGGUCCGAGUUGUAAUUUGUAGAGGAUGCUUCGGGUGCGGCCACGGCCUAAGUUCCUUGGAACAGGACGUCAUAGAGGGUGAGAAUCCCGUCUUGGGUCGUUGGUCCACGCCCGUGUGAAGCUCCUUCGACGAGUCGAGUUGUUUGGGAAUGCAGCUCUAAGCGGGUGGUAAAUUUCAUCUAAAGCUAAAUAUUGGCCGGAGACCGAUAGCGCACAAGUAGAGUGAUCGAAAGGUUAAAAGCACCUUGAAAAGGGAGUUAAACAGCACGUGAAAUUGUUGAAAGGGAAGCGCUUGCGGCCAGACUCAGGCGCAGGGUUCAGCGGGUGCGUGUCACCCGUGCACUCCCUGCCGCCUGGGCCAGCAUCAGUUCUGACGGUCGGUCAAAGGCCUCCGGAAUGUGUCGUCUCUCGGGACGUCUUAUAGCCGGGGGUGCAAUGCGGCCCGUCGGGACUGAGGAACGCGCUUCGGCUCGGAUGCUGGCAUAAUGGCCGUAAGCGGCCCGUCUUGAAACACGGACCAAGGAGUCUAACAUCCACGCGAGUGUUCGGGUGUCAAACCCGUGCGCGCAGUGAAAGCGAACGGAGGUGGGAGCCUUAGGGCGCACCAUCGACCGAUCCUGAAGUCUUCGGAUGGAUUUGAGUAGGAGCGUGGCCGUUGGGACCCGAAAGAUGGUGAACUAUGCCUGAAUAGGGUGAAGCCAGAGGAAACUCUGGUGGAGGCUCGCAGCGGUUCUGACGUGCAAAUCGAUCGUCAAAUUUGGGCAUAGGGGCGAAAGACUAAUCGAACCAUCUAGUAGCUGGUUCCUGCCGAAGUUUCCCUCAGGAUAGCAGUAACGAAAUUCCAGUUUUAUGAGGUAAAGCGAAUGAUUA
Molecule: ribosomal RNA, 943 nt
Filed under: Arthroderma quadrifidum
Lineage: Eukaryota; Fungi; Ascomycota; Eurotiomycetes; Onygenales; Arthrodermataceae
Description: eukaryotic LSU rRNA
Rfam family: Eukaryotic large subunit ribosomal RNA
Source: RNAcentral